CCUACGGGUGGCAGCAGUGGGGAAUAUUGGGCAAUGGGCGCAAGCCUGCCCCAGCAACGCCGCGUGAAUGAUGAAGGCCCUCGGAUUGUACACUUCUUUUAUCGAGGAUGAACAAAAUGACGGUACCUGAUGAACAAGCCACGGCUAACUACGUGCCAGCAGCCGCGGUAAUACGUAGGUGGCAAGCGUUGUCCGGAUUUAUUGGGCGUAAAGGGAGUGCAGGCGGUUUAGUAAGUCGGAGGUGAAAGCCUUCGGCUCAACCGGAGAACUACAGCAGAAACUGUUGGACUUGAGUGCAGGAGAGGAGAGUGGAACGCCAGGUGUAGCGGUGGAAUGCGUAGAUAUAUGGAAGAACACCGAUGGCGAAGGCAGCUUACUAAACUGUGACUGACAUUGAUGCUCGAAAGUGUGGGGAUCAAACAGGAUUAGAUACCCGAGUAGUC
RNAcentral lists this ribosomal RNA (443 nucleotides) under uncultured bacterium. RNAcentral's name for it is "partial 16S ribosomal RNA". It matches the Rfam family "Bacterial small subunit ribosomal RNA", at positions 338 to 795 of the family's 1533-position model. The record is from RNAcentral.